RNAcentral lists this unclassified non-coding RNA (320 nucleotides) under Janthinobacterium sp. OK676. RNAcentral describes it as "Long range pseudoknot". The record is from RNAcentral. Lineage: Bacteria; Pseudomonadati; Pseudomonadota; Betaproteobacteria; Burkholderiales; Oxalobacteraceae.
ACUGAUGAUGGUGACUACAAUAUCAAGUUGCGUAAUCUCAUCAAGUUCCUUGAAGAUGGCGAUAAAACCAAGAUCACCUUGCGUUUCCGCGGUCGUGAGAUGGCGCAUCAGGAUAUUGGCUUCCGCAUGCUGGAACGUCUGAAAGCCGAUCUGGAGCCGUAUGGCCAGGUCGAGCAGUUCCCGAAGAUGGAAGGCCGCCAAAUGAUCAUGGUUCUUUCGCCUAAGAAGAAGAAGUAAGAUACAAUAGCGUUUUACUGUGGGUGGAAACUGCUCGCGCCGGCAUUGGCGCGGCGUCACACCCCAGGCAGAAUUUGCGCGGC